This 1931-nucleotide ribosomal RNA is filed under the name invertebrate metagenome. RNAcentral describes it as "bacterial LSU rRNA". It matches the Rfam family "Bacterial large subunit ribosomal RNA", at positions 155 to 1998 of the family's 2925-position model. The record is from RNAcentral.
UAGCUGAAUACAUAGGCUAUGGAGGCGAACGAGGGGAACUGAAACAUCUCAGUACCCUUAGGAAUAGAAAUCAAUAGAGAUUUUCCUAGUAGCGGCGAGCGAACGGGAAAGAGCCUAAACCGUGUAUGUGUGAUAGCCCACAGGUGUUGCAUAUGCGGUGUUGCGGGUUUUUACUUGGUAGUGCUGUGGCACUGCCGGGGAGUUACAAAGUUAAUCUAUAAUCGAACCUUGUGGAAACUUGGACCAUAGAAGGUGACAGUCCUGUAGAUGAAAUAGAUUAAUCUCCCUUGUAGAAUACCCAAGUACUUCGGGACACGUGAAACCCUGAAGGAAUCCGGGAGGACCAUCUUCCAAGGCUAAAUACUACCUGACAACCGAUAGUGAACUAGUACCGUGAGGGAAAGGUGAAAAGUACCCCUGGCGGGGAGUGAAAUAGUACCUGAAACCGUGUGCCUACAAGCCGUGGGAGCACUAUUUGUUGAUGCUUGCAUCUUCAAAGUGUGACCGCGUGCCUUUUGCAUAAUGAGUCCGCGAGUUACUUUAUGUUGCAAGGUUAAGCCGUAAGGUGUAGCCGUAGCGAAAGCGAGUCUGAAUAGGGCGUUUAGUAGCAUUAAGUAGACCCGAAACCGAGUGAUCUAGCCAUGGCCAGGGUAAAAGUUCAGUAAAAUGAACCGGAGGCCCGAACCAGUGUAGGUUGAAAACUAUUUGGAUGAGCUGUGGCUAGGAGUGAAAGGCUAAUCAAACUCGGAGAUAGCUGGUUCUCCCCGAAAUAUAUUUAGGUAUAGCCUUACGUUAUAGCAGAUGGAGGUAGAGCACUGAAUGGGAUAGGGGUCUUACAGGAUUACCAAACCCAAUCAAACUCCGAAUGCCAUCUUGCCUUAUCGUAGGAGUCAGUCGGCGGGAGAUAAGUUCCGUCGUCGAGAGGGAAACAACCCAGAUCACCAGCUAAGGUCCCUAAUAUUUGCUAAGUGGGAAAGGAAGUGAGAACGCUCAGACAGCCAGGAGGUUGGCUUAGAAGCAGCCACCCUUUAAAGAAAGCGUAACAGCUCACUGGUCGAGUGUUCUUGCGCCGAAAAUGUAACGGGGCUUAAGUAAAUAACCGAAGCUGUGACUUUGAUGCUUGCAUCAAGGGGUAGGGGAGCGUUCCAGAUCCUGUGAAGUCAGACCGUAAGGACUGGUGGAGGUACUGGAAGUGAUUAUGCGGACAUGAGUAGCGAUAAUGCGGGUGAGAAACCCGCACGCCGAAAGCCCAAGGGUUCCUGGGGAAGGUUAAUCCACCCAGGGUUAGUCAGUGCCUAAGCCGAGGCUGAAAAGCGUAGGCGAUGGGAAACAGGUUAAUAUUCCUGUACCACCAUAGUGGCGUUUGAGCGAAGGGGUGACGUGGAAGGGUAGGCCAUCCAGGCGUUGGUUGUCCUGGUUUAAGCCUGUAGGUGGGGAAAGUAGGCAAAUCCGCUUUCCCAAUUGUAAACACCAAGAGGUUAUGAGGAGGAGCUUAGCUCCGUAAACUGGUUGAUCCCAUGCUACCAAGAAAAACCUCGUAGUGAGUUGUUGUGGUGACUGUACUGUAAACCGACACAGGUAGGCAAGGUGAGUAUCCAAAGGCGCUUGAGAGAACUCUCGUUAAGGAACUCUGCAAAAUGACUCCGUAACUUCGGGAUAAGGAGUGCCCCGUUAGGGUGAAGCGAUUCGCUCGUGGAGCUCGAAGGGGUCGCAGUAAAAUGGCGGUAGCGACUGUUUACUAAAAACAUAGGUCUAUGCUAAGUCGUAAGACGACGUAUAUGGACUGACGCCUGCCCGGUGCUGGAAGGUUAAGGGGAAGUGUUAUCCAAUGGAGAAGCUCUGAACCGAAGCCCCAGUAAACGGCGGCCGUAACUAUAACGGUCCUAAGGUAGCGAAAUUCCUUGUCGGGUAAGUUCCGACCUGCACGAAUG